This 447-nucleotide ribosomal RNA is filed under the name uncultured organism. Its description in RNAcentral is "partial 16S ribosomal RNA". It matches the Rfam family "Bacterial small subunit ribosomal RNA", at positions 332 to 796 of the family's 1533-position model. The record is from RNAcentral.
UACACUCCUACGGGAGGCAGCAGUGGGGAAUCUUGCGCAAUGGGCGAAAGCCUGACGCAGCCAUGCCGCGUGAAUGAUGAAGGUCUUAGGAUUGUAAAAUUCUUUCACCGGGGACGAUAAUGACGGUACCCGGAGAAGAAGCCCCGGCUAACUUCGUGCCAGCAGCCGCGGUAAUACGAAGGGGGCUAGCGUUGCUCGGAAUUACUGGGCGUAAAGGGAGCGUAGGCGGACAUUUAAGUCAGGGGUGAAAUCCCGGGGCUCAACCUCGGAAUUGCCUUUGAUACUGGGUGUCUUGAGUAUGAGAGAGGUGUGUGGAACUCCGAGUGUAGAGGUGAAAUUCGUAGAUAUUCGGAAGAACACCAGUGGCGAAGGCGACACACUGGCUCAUUACUGACGCUGAGGCUCGAAAGCGUGGGGAGCAAACAGGAUUAGAAACCCGAGUAGUCC